CCAGACUCCUACGGGAGGCAGCAGUGGGGAAUAUUGCACAAUGGGGGAAACCCUGAUGCAGCAACGCCGCGUGGGUGAAGGAGCGUUUCGGCGCGUAAAGCCCUGUCAGCGGGGAAGAAGAAAGACGGUACCCGACCAAGAAGCCCCGGCUAACUACGUGCCAGCAGCCGCGGUAAUACGUAGGGGGCAAGCGUUAUCCGGAUUUACUGGGUGUAAAGGGAGCGUAGACGGUUAUGUAAGUCUGGAGUGAAAGCCCGGGGCCCAACCCCGGGACUGCUUUGGAAACUGUGUAACUGGAGUACAGGAGGGGCAGGCGGAAUUCCUGGUGUAGCGGUGAAAUGCGUAGAUAUCAGGAGGAACACCGGCGGCGAAGGCGGCCUGCUGGACUGAAACUGACGUUGAGGCUCGAAAGCGUGGGGAGCAAACAGGAUUAGAUACCCCAGUA
This 445-nucleotide ribosomal RNA is filed under the name uncultured bacterium. Its description in RNAcentral is "bacterial SSU rRNA". It matches the Rfam family "Bacterial small subunit ribosomal RNA", at positions 331 to 792 of the family's 1533-position model. The record is from RNAcentral.